Phragmites australis (common reed) is the source of this 1509-nucleotide RNA transcript. RefSeq lists it as uncharacterized. The transcript is spliced from 4 exons. NCBI's taxonomy places the organism in Eukaryota, Viridiplantae, Streptophyta, Magnoliopsida, Poales, Poaceae. The record is from RefSeq and is a predicted model, not a curated record.
ACCAUCGCCACACCCGCACGCACGCACUCCCCCCCCCCCCCCCGCCCUCGCCGUCGCCGUAGCCUCGUCUCCGGCGUAGGGGGGAGCCUCUGGAGGCUGGCGUGGCCUACUGCGGCCCAGAUGGCGGCGCACGCGGCGAAGAAGCGGCGGCCGGAGGAGGAGGUGGAGGAGGAUAUGCACCUGGCGUUCCGGGGCGCCGCGAACGCGCUGUCGCAGGUGUACACGCAGGCGGUGGCGCACCAGAAGGCGUCCUUCCACACCGGCGAGCGCAGGGCCGUGGAGAAAGUCUAUCGAUGGUUGUCCAGUCAGCUUGAGGGAGCUUCAGAGGUGUCCAUUGCUGAUGUACUUGCAUACUUGCAGAAUGAGAUUGAACACCAAACAGAGGACAUGCCAGCAUCUCCGCAGCAUCCAAGUCCGCUGCCAUCAUAUAAUUUUCCUUCUGCAAAUGUACAAAACAAUCCCUUCUCAUUUGGGUAUGUAGGUGCUGCACAUAACUCCCGGAUGGGUGAAACUGACCAAAGAAAUGCGGGCAUCUCAAAUGCUCUCUCCAACCCUUUACGGACAAAUUUCCAAUUGAAUAAUUUGAUUCAGUCUUCAGGAUAUGGUCCCAUCAACUCAUUGUCCAAUGGAAAUGGGACUCAGAACAGCCAUUCUCCCCAAAAUCUGGACUUCUUGCAUUACAAUUCGCAUGAGCCCUCUAUGGAUAUGCAUCAUGAUGGCCCUUGAAGGUGAAAACCAUAAGAAAACUUGGAAGUGUCAAGUGUAUCUAGUUCCUUCGAAGCCGUCAAGUUCUGAUCUUUAUUGGCUGGAGAAGCCCCACCGAUUGGUGAUUGAUGUCUUCCCCGUCUACGACUCGGUUGCCAUCAAUUGUGUCUCAGUGCAAAACUCCUGCAAUACAGAAUUGUAGCCAUUCUCAGCCCUUCCUGAUAGCAUAUGCUUGACAACCAGAAACCUCUUCUGGGGGAGUAGGGGUUCACUAUGUUGAUUGCAAGAUUGGAGAGUCAACAUACUGGUUUGGUAGAACUGCUGCGUUUAUUAUCAGUUCAUUUGUUUGUUUACCAAGUGCAAAGCCAUGCUCUGGCCAGCAAGGAGUUUGUGGUGGUCGAUAGAUGUUAAUGAUUUUAUUGUUUAGCGCCAACUCUUUGGCCACCUCGCGUGCGUCAGCUCCCGCCCGAGGUCACCCAAGUUCCAGCAACCUCGUGUCCACGUAUGAGUCCCCAAGCACCCACAGGGAAGGAGGCUUGGCGUUGCCGCAGCCACUGCUGCUAGUAUUGUUGUGCUUGCGCAGCUCCUCAUCCAACGCCUCCGCCGCUGGCAACAGCAACGCCGCCACGACCUCAUGAUCGAGUUGGCAUGUACAGAGAUGUAGUGAAUAAGCCAAGAUCAGAAGGAAGGGUUGACGGUGCAUAGAGAGAUCGAUUGAGAUGUAUGUAGCAAAGUUAUGUACAGAGAACAAGCGCCAAGGCUCUUGCAGCCCGAGGUUCUCGCAUACAAAUGUCCAUACAGGGA